UAAAUAUGAAGUGGUUUAUCGCCUACAGAACUGAAUUAUCCCAUAGUAGUUAUCAGUUUGUGUCAAUUUGUUUAAAAAGACCCUACUCCCAAGGCUUUACAUUUUCAUUAAUUCCCCAUGCAAUACAUUUAAAUGAAUUAUUCAAACAAAGGCGAGAACAAUGGAUAAAAGCCAUAAGGAGAACAGAUCUAACAGAACUAAAAUUAAAAUAAAGUGGAAAGCCAGCCACUUUAGAGGACAUAAAUAAUGAAGAUUUGAUUCAAAACCAAAACAUGGGUUGCGAAAGCCAGACAAUAAAAAGAAAAGGUGAUCUACAAUCCGGAGAGCUGAUAAAAGAAGUAAAUAUAAAGAAAAUAAUGCUGAGACUUCUCUCGAUGAUGAACCAACACCAGAUAGUUUAAAUGUAGGGUAAGGAGUAACUGCUGGAACUCCAACACAAACGUGUUUGACUAGUGAAGAUUUGGAUAAACAACAGGAGUUACAGCUCCCGGAGCGAACCGUGUCCCGUGAGAGAAACCCUGUCUGUGUAAACAUUAGGUGAGUGGUUCGCUCCGGGAGCUGUACUU
Long non-coding RNA from Diabrotica virgifera virgifera (western corn rootworm), 566 nucleotides. RefSeq lists it as uncharacterized. The record is from RefSeq and is a predicted model, not a curated record. NCBI's taxonomy places the organism in Eukaryota, Metazoa, Arthropoda, Insecta, Coleoptera, Chrysomelidae. The transcript has 3 exons.